This is an RNA transcript of Caenorhabditis elegans, 2126 nucleotides long. It is a transcript of the gene named Non-coding transcript of protein-coding gene cbn-1, with no coding region annotated. The record is from RefSeq and is marked reviewed. NCBI's taxonomy places the organism in Eukaryota, Metazoa, Nematoda, Chromadorea, Rhabditida, Rhabditidae. The transcript has 11 exons.
AUGCGGAUAACGGUGUUAAUCCUAUCAACGUUACUGGUCACUAUUCUCAACGGUUUACCAAUUGUACCUGUAGUCGAAGAUUCAAUAUCCCCAGAAGAAGUCCCUGAACCGUCUCCAGAAAUUGAAGAAAAUACAGUACCCCCGCCACGUGUCAUAUCUCCACGUGUCGAUGUGAGUGUUGAUGUUAAUGAAGACGGAGUGUUGGAUAUUGAUGAAAUACGAUAUGCAGCAUUUGUGCAUCACGGACUGUCGGCUUCGGUAGUCGAGGACUUGUUUAAGCAGGUAGACACAAACCGUGACAACGUGCUAGAUGCCCGAGAAUUCGAUGCGAUUCGAAUGUUGGUACUAGAAAAAGCUGAAAAUGCAGCUCUGAGAUAUCUUCAAAAUGUCGAUACCGACCGGGAUGGGCUAUUAUCUCUCCAGGAAGCACAAAUCUAUUUGUUAAGGGAAUAUGGAAUUGGAUAUCACGAUGUUGCUCGUCUGUGGAAGCUAGUUCCAGCUGAUUUGAGCGAUAGGAUGAACUCUACAUUGUUCAGUAAGCUCAGACGAAGAGUUCGGGGAAUGACGAUUCGAUUGGCUCGACAGAUUAUGAAGAACGCCGACCUAAACGGAGACGGUCACAUUUCUGUUGACGAGGCGCAAGCCAUCGCAUUUGAGCAAGAAGGGAUUGGAGCCGGUGACGUGGCAUCUAUGGUCGGAAGUGUAGAUGAGAAUAUGGAUGGAGAGCUCAAUGCGCCAGAGUUUGCAGAUUUCGAAAGAAUUAUCAGGGCGAGAGCAAUUGAGAAUAGCAAGAAAGCUAUGCGAGUUGUGGACGCUGACAAUAGUGGGACCUUGACACUUGAUGAAGCAAAAAGAGUUGCCUUCGAGCAUUACGGAUUCGAUGAAGCCACAUUGGCACCGUUCUUUGGUCAAGCUGAUGAGAAUGAAGAUGGGCAACUGGAUAAUGUAGAGUUUGCCGGCUUUCGAUCAGUCAUUCGUGCUCGAUCAGUCAGAGAUGCCAUGGAUAAAAUGAAGAGAAUUGAUACAAAUGGGGAUGGUCUUGUAUCAAAUGCAGAAGCCACUGAUUCCACGAAAAAGGAGGAUGAUAUGGAUUCUGAGGAGACUUUAGCGCUAUUCAAUAUUGCUGAUCAGAACAAAAGCGGAAAGUUGGACAAAGUAGAGCUAGCAGAUUUUAAUCGAUUGGUCAGGUUAAGCUCCAUUAAAUUUGCAACCGAUCAUUUUAAGGAAUUCGAUUUGGACGGAAAUGACGCUGUAACAUUUGACGAGAUUGCUUUGCUCAUUGAGCAAAAAUAUGGAAUCCCCAGAAGCAUGAUUAAGACAUUUUUCGAUCGCAUCGAUGUGGAUGGCUCCGGUGAUUUGAUGCCUGCGGAAAUUGUAGAUUUUAGGUGAGAGAAAAAACUGUUUUAAAUUUUUUUUCAGAACGAAGGUUCUGUAAAUUCAAAGUUAAACUUCCAGAAAGUAAUAUUUUCAGACAUCUCAUUCGAAACCACGUGUCUCAGCAACGACAAGAAAAACCUCCACCAUCCACUACGCCAAUCACCACAACCACUGAGGACACCCCACUAAUAACCACACCCGAAACUACAAUAACCCCAACGACUACAGUACCCGAAGAAGUUACAGUAACCACAAAAAAACCAAAACAAAAAUUGAAGCCUGUGGAGGUGGCCGAGUUAAUUGAUGGUAUAGCAAAUGACGUCAUAGCUCAGGAUAUAUUAAGAGAAGUGGUUGCACCCAAAGCUACAGUGCUCAAAACUACGGUACCUACAACUACAGUAAUCCAGACAACAGAAACACCAAGUACUAAAUCGAAAACUACGAAAAAAGUGAAGGUUACCACAACUACUGUUUCUACCACCACCAUCACCACAAGCACACCACCUUCCACCACAUCACCCACCACUACAGUAACCCCUGUUGCCACGUCAUCAGCGACCCCAAAACCAUCAAAAAGAACUACUACACGGCGACCAAUGACGGCAUCGAAAGAACUCGUGGUUGAGGAAAUUAUUUAUGAGGACGAAAAUGGAAACCGGAUGAAUCCUAAAAAGCGAAAAUCUGGAAAAGCCGACGAUGUGUCAUAUGAGGAGAUUAUCGAGUAUGUUGAUGAGCCGGCAACUAAUUAA